UCCAAACACUACGUAUAGCCGAAAGAGGAAAAGCAGUCGGCGACAAUUGCGACUUCUCUGAAGGUCCCCAUGAGUUCUAGAAUACAUAUGCAAAAAGAAUAUUUUAAUUAGGACCCAAAUCAAAGAAAUUAACUUACAAACUACACACAAAAUCUAAAUUAUAAAAUCUAAUGCAAAAGGAGAAAGAGGACUUACAUCUUGAUUUCAACAAAGAGUGUUUUAUCCUUCUUCAAAAUAUACGGAUUCUACCAAAUUUUUGUUAAUUCAAAAUAUAUCGAUUCUACCAAAUACAUCGGUUCUACAAAUAAAUAGAGAAAAUAAAUUUAAAAUUCACAUGCAUGAAGAAAGAAAAAAAAAGCAAAAUUAAAGCAAAAUCGAAGAGGAAUUUGUAUGAAAAAGCAAAAUCAAGUAAACUUACAUCCUAUUGAUUGAUAGAUAAGAAAUUUUCUUGCAUCUCUUUCAUUUUGCAAUAGAGGAGGCGCUGAAGAAAGAGGAGGCGCUAAAGAAAAGCAGAGAGCUAUUAUAUGUGGAAUAUUGCAACUACACUUGUAUCGGAGCUAUUGAAAUCAGAGGAAAUGAAGAAGAAAUGGAAGAAAUUAAGUGAAGAAGAAAUGAAAGAGAUUAACUGAAGGAAAAGAGAUUAAGUGAAGGAAGAGAUUAGUCACGGUUUUGAUUAACUCAAGAAGAAAUGAAAUAUUGCAAUGGAUUUUGAUUAAGU
Molecule: long non-coding RNA, 718 nt
Filed under: Nicotiana benthamiana
Lineage: Eukaryota; Viridiplantae; Streptophyta; Magnoliopsida; Solanales; Solanaceae
Description: long non-coding RNA (NBEN_LNC039448)
Source: RNAcentral